GAUCCUGGCUCAGGAUGAACGCUAGCUACAGGCUUAACACAUGCAAGUCGAGGGGAAACGACAUCGAAAGCUUGCUUUCGAUGGGCGUCGACCGGCGCACGGGUGAGUAACGCGUAUCCAACCUGCCCACCACUUGGGGAUAACCUUGCGAAAGUAAGACUAAUACCCAAUGAUAUCUCUAGAAGACAUCUGAAAGAGAUUAAAGAUUUAUCGGUGAUGGAUGGGGAUGCGUCUGUAUUAG
Molecule: ribosomal RNA, 241 nt
Filed under: uncultured bacterium
Lineage: Bacteria
Description: partial 16S ribosomal RNA
Rfam family: Bacterial small subunit ribosomal RNA
Source: RNAcentral